RNAcentral lists this ribosomal RNA (1016 nucleotides) under Triticum aestivum (bread wheat). RNAcentral's name for it is "partial small subunit ribosomal RNA". Lineage: Eukaryota; Viridiplantae; Streptophyta; Magnoliopsida; Poales; Poaceae. The record is from RNAcentral.
CUUAGUAGAGGAGGAAGGGUCCUUGCGUUGUCUUGGUUUUAGGAGGUUGCGCCGCAUCGACCCGCUAUCUCUCGAACGGCUGCCACCGCCGCCCGAUCUAGGCCACGGAUCGACCUACUAACGCGGGUCACCUCCAGGUCUAGGUCGUGGGGUGGCAGAACAGCGGCCGCAGGAGCGACGGGGCCGUCUAGAGGAGACACGCCUGUUUAUGAGAUCAGGCAGCAGGACGGGGCCGCCUGGUAGAGUUUCCAUGAGAAGAGGCUGCAGGUCACGUUUUGGAGCGCGUAAGAAGUGUGUCGCGAGCGUGGGGGCGCAGAUCGAGGCGGUAUACACUUGCAACCUCUUCUUUAGAGGCCAGAAGUCCAGCUUCGAGCAGCUGAUCAUGAUUCAAACAAAAGGCGAUAAAACGACGACGUAGAACUUGACUUUACCUCCCUUCAUCACUCUGUAGCGGCAAUCCGCUCGGGUAUCAAGGUCAUUAACGUUUUAAACAUGGUUGUGAUAGUCCACUGUUCUGUAUCAGGUUUUUCUACGUACGACGAGACUGUUCGCCUUUGUAGUCCUGAUGUCUACCUAUCUUCUUCGAAAAUAGUUUCAGGGGGGAAAGACUGUUAACUCUCUUAAAGAGACGUUGAACUGAAAUUGAGACAACAACUAGUCCGUAGACAUGCACAGACACGACUUGACUUAGCACAAACGAACCACACUAGAGAGGGUUUUGUUCUUCGAACUACUUGUUCCUCAUCAUCUUGUCCUCCCGGUAGUUCUAUGAUCUCGAAUAUUAAAAUUUAUUGUUACGAACAAUUUACCACUAGUCUAAUCAGGAAUUACGUACAACGACCGGUACAUGGUUUUUACCACGAUGGUACAGAGUAGUUCUAUAAAUACGAACACUAUACGAGUUAGACCCGCUCAGGUCAGACUACAAAUCAAUAUGAAGUUUCCCACCGAAUUAAAAUAGAUACAUGAGUGUAUAAACACUAUCUAUAACUGUAUGAAACGUCACUGUCAGUAUG